AGAAAAUCAGUUUCACGGCUGUGGCGGGAACGGGAAGGAUAAUAAAAAGUGUCGUUAAGACAACUGUCUAAUUGUGGAGCUCAGAUUUCUUUCACACACUAAACGCAAACAAUCACUAAAAUCUCCUCUGGGAAUAAUUUCUGUCAGCUUAUCCCCAAUUGAAACCCUAAUUUCCCCAAGAUGUCUUUCCUCGAUGAAUUCCAAGCCAGUAAUCACUCUUUAUCUCUCCGUGUGUUAUUUCAUGAUUGUUUCUAAUCUGUAUAUGUUUUGAGCAACUUUUUCACAUUUUUCAAUUUUCUUUUCCUUUUCAUCAGUUGUUUAAUCGGCAAAAAUAACCAACAAAUUCCACUGUUUGAAAUGAGGAAGAAAAUUAAGGCAACAGAAUUGGAUUCCUAUCAAAUGUUUAAAAUCUGAUGACAAUUUGAAAAUGGUUGCUUGUUUUCCCAUAAAUUGAAGGAUUCUUGCAUAAAUUAUGUGUUGAAAUGAUUUAUUACUGUUACUUAUUAUAUUCAGUUCCGUCUUUGCUUUGACGGUCUAUGUUUGUGAGUUUUUAUGUCUAACAGUCUAUUGUUGCACUUGAUUCUAUUCUUUGGGCGUGAAAUACUUUUAUCUUUAGUUGUGAAAAAUGCUCAUACUGACAAAUACUUGCAUGCAUUUGGCUUGGUUGCUUGAGUGCUCGAGACUUGAUAGCGGAAGUCUUGAUAGAAGUGCAGGUUCUUGACAUUUUCAUCAUCAACCGUAGUUAGUUUAGAAUUCAUUAUUUGAGAAAAUAUGGUAUGUUUACAAUAAACAGAGGAGGGUUUUACAUUUUGAAUUACUACCAUCACACGGGGCACUCCAUUUUGAAAAUUAGAUAUGUUGUUUUAUCAUACAUCAAUAGGCGUAUUGUUGUCUUUUUGUUUUCUAUUAUUGAAUUUAAAAUUGAUUUUAUGUACAGAUCUGGAAUCACUGCCCAUUAUUCUGCAGAAGAAGUAUGCCUUGUUACGUGAUCUAGAUAAAAGUUUGCGGGGUAUGCCUUGCACCGAAGACAAUCAUUAGUAAUGUUAAUAUCAUUAUCUUUAUUGUUUUUUUAUAGGAUCAUUAUCUUUGUUGUUGUUCUUAAAUUUUUCUUCUUUUCCAUCUUUAUUACCUUAGUGUCUUCUAUUUGUAAUACCUGAUUUCCUCAUAAUCAUUUGAAUGGACAGAGGACCCAUGUAAUAAAGUUAAAGCGUACUGUUUUUCUGAUUUAGAUGAGAGCAAGAUUAACAUCAUGUUGUUUAUGCUACUAAGUUUGGAGUAGAUGUGUGUUCAGACUUUUUCAAAAGAUAUGGUAUCAUUUCUUUGUGUUUUUAUCUGGAUUUGUCAUUUCACAAGGAAGGGUCUGUGAUGAGCAUGGUACAGGAAGAGUACAUGUGAUUGCCUCUUAGUGCAUGUGUUUGCCCUGCUUUGUAAUACGUUUGGAAUUUUUAUUCUCUGUCCAAUCCUGCAUUAUACUGUGGGGUUCAACUUUACAGUGCAUAGAAUUAUUUCCUCCUUACACUCCAUUGCUCUCCCUUUCCCUGCUCUUUGCUAAUGCAUGAACUGAAAAUUGAUCAAGGUUUUAAUUUUCUCUACUUUUAUCCUUUUCCCAUGUACAAUUUUUCCCCCUAAAUGUAUAUGAGCAGAAAUCCAAAGUCAAAAUGAACAACUUUGUGAACAAGAAAUAAAGGAUAUUCAGCGAGGAGUUAAGGCUGGAAAUAUUACAGCUGAUACCUUACUUAUCAGAUUCUCUGAUGAGGCACUUGAUGAGCAAAAGCAUAGCAUCAGAAUUGCUGAUGAAAAGGUUGCAUUGGCUGUCCAAGCAUAUGAUUUGGUAGAUGCACACAUACAACAACUUGAUCAAUAUUUAAAAAAGUUUGAUGAAGAACUUAGACGUGGUAAUUUACUUGUCUACCUUUGUAGCUUUCUUUUUUAGAGUUUCUCAAUAGGUUUUGUUAGAUUAUCUUGUGUUGUGAUAUCUUAGCUCCACUUUUUCCAUGUAUUUGUCUUAACUUUAUGUAAAUAAUGUGGAUUUUUUAUAUAGAAAGAGAAAGCGUUGCAGCAACUACAUUGCCUGGUUCAAGUCUUGAUGGCAGUGCUAAAUCCGGAAGGGGUAGUGGGGGUGGUAGAGGAGGGCGCAAAAAGUAUCCAUCUCUUCUAAUUUUGCUUUGUUAAUGUCCUUAGUGAUUACUUGACAUACAAUAACUAGAUUAAGCAUUUAAAUUUAUGGGUUUUUUUCCCCUUUUAUGGAAGUUAUUUGUUGAGUGUUGAUUUGGUUAAUGUCUCAUCUUUCUUUUAAUUAUAUAUAUAUAUUUUUUGAAAUGGAAGUUUUGAUACUGAAAUCUGUGAUAUCUGGAAUUAGAACAUUUUCCCCAAGAAAAGAUGACUUUUUUUAUAAUAAAAUCAUUCCAAGUAUGAGGGGAUUUAUUUGCUUAUGAUGAAGAAAAAUAGGGAAAUUCUAGGAGAGCACCAAGGGUUCCACAACUGAGCAAGAGGCAGAAAUCUGAGAAGGAAUAAUAGCCUUUAUGAGGCACUUUACUGGGAGACUUUCAUCCUUGGUACCCAUCUGUAAUGGAGCAUGAAUAUGCAUGCAUAUGAAAGUAUUUCUCACGCGAAAGUGGCUAUGCUUGUGCACACAUGUGUGUGUGUGAGGGAAAUUCUUUAAAUUGCCUUCUGUCAAAUGAAGUUUUACUGCAUUGAUUUAAGAUUUUGCAUGAAAUAAACAGCAUUUAUAUUUUUGGGUAAGUUGUACAAUUGGCUACUGAAAUUAUUUAUGUGCAGAACACGCCUGGCUACAGAAGCAGCAACAGCGGCAACUUCAGCAAAUCCUACUGGUAUGGAAUUAGAUUGUCCAGUGGAUCCAAAUGAACCAACCUACUGUUUCUGCCAGCAAGUUAGCUAUGGAGAGAUGGUAGCUUGUGAUAACCCUCAUUGCACCAUAGAAUGGUUCCAUUUUGGCUGUGUUGGUCUGAAAGAACAACCAAAAGGGAAAUGGUAUUGUUCAGAUUGUGCUGCUGUAAAAAAUCGACGGAAAGGCAGAUGAUGUGGAGUACUGUGUUCUAGGAAUUGUAUAUGUGGAAUUUGAUAAUUUUUUUUAUUGGAAAACUGAUUUCAUAUUAACUAAUCUUUUUUUCCCCUUAUUUUUGGAUUAUUCUGGGUUUCAGGAAUUUCUUUUUGUUGAUUUUCAUAUUAGUGAUUUCAGCUAACCUGCAAUUCUGUACCAUUAUAAUUGUAUGAAGACUAUGUUAAAACUAGUUUUGGUAGAUGAUCACCGCUUGCAUUGGAAAUAAAUUUU
Molecule: unclassified non-coding RNA, 3292 nt
Filed under: Hevea brasiliensis (rubber tree)
Lineage: Eukaryota; Viridiplantae; Streptophyta; Magnoliopsida; Malpighiales; Euphorbiaceae
Source: RNAcentral